This 324-nucleotide ribosomal RNA is filed under the name uncultured Thaumatomonas. RNAcentral describes it as "SSU rRNA". The stretch from base 84 to 324 matches the Rfam family "Eukaryotic small subunit ribosomal RNA", at positions 712 to 955 of the family's 1831-position model. The record is from RNAcentral. Lineage: Eukaryota; Cercozoa; Imbricatea; Thaumatomonadida; Thaumatomastigidae.
GAUUUCUGGUUUGAUGCGUUUGGCCCUCUCGGAGCAAUCCGGCGUGCGUGCCGAUGCGCGUCUGCCAUCCCUUGUAGAGAACGUUUCUACCCUUCACUGGGCCGGAUUCGCAAUCUACAUCUUUUACUUUGAAAAAAUUAGAGUGUUUAAAGCAGGCUUGUGCUAUGAAUACAUUAGCAUGGAAUAAUAAUUUAGGACUUCUUCCUAUUUUAUUGGUUUCUAGGGAUGAAGUAAUGAUUGAUAGGGAUAGUUGGGGGUGCUAGUAUUCAUCGGCCAGAGGUGAAAUUCUUGGAUUCGAUGAAGACUAACUAAUGCGAAAGCAUU